This 365-nucleotide long non-coding RNA is filed under the name Lathyrus oleraceus (garden pea). RNAcentral's name for it is "Pisum sativum (pea) long non-coding RNA (PSAT_LNC009094)". Lineage: Eukaryota; Viridiplantae; Streptophyta; Magnoliopsida; Fabales; Fabaceae. The record is from RNAcentral.
AUAAGGAUCCACUUCUUCAUCUUCCUCCUCGUCAACAUCAACAUCGGCCUCGGUGACGACCUUACCGGCUAAUCCAGGGUGAUAAACAAACGUGAUACCAGGUCUCUUCACAUAAGACAACAUUAUGGAAGUGUUGUAGUGAACAAAAUAAACAUUGAAAUCUUUCUGAUCAAUUGGAUAUGAAGGUAGAAACCAAUCACUAACAUUUGCAUUCAAAAGCUCUCCUACCCCAAUAUCAAUAAGAUAUGAAGGUAGAAACCAAUCACUAACAUUUGCAUUCAAAAGCUCUCCUACCCCAAUAUCAAUAUACACCAACCUCUUCCUAGUAGAAACAUCUACAAACUUGGGCAAAUAUGAAACCGGCG